AGACGGAGGGCGCAAGCGUUGUUCGGAAUUACUGGGCGGAAAGGGCAGGUAGGUGGUCUGUUAAGUCUUCUGUGAAAAUCCGGGGCUCAACCCCGCGAAAUGCAGGUGAAACUGGCAGACUAGAGACCGGUAGAGGCUAGCGGAAUUCCUGGUGUAGCGGUGGAAUGCGUAGAUAUCAGGAAGAACACCUGUGGCGAAGGCGGCUAGCUGGGCCGGUUCUGACACUAAACUGCGAAAGCGUGGGGAGCAAACAGGAUUAGAAACCCCGGUAGUCC
This 275-nucleotide ribosomal RNA is filed under the name uncultured bacterium. RNAcentral describes it as "partial 16S ribosomal RNA". It matches the Rfam family "Bacterial small subunit ribosomal RNA", at positions 523 to 796 of the family's 1533-position model. The record is from RNAcentral.